RNAcentral lists this small nuclear RNA (159 nucleotides) under Rhodnius prolixus. Its description in RNAcentral is "U4 spliceosomal RNA". It matches the Rfam family "U4 spliceosomal RNA". From Rfam's summary of the family: U4 small nuclear RNA (U4 snRNA) is a component of the major U2-dependent spliceosome. The structure of U4 snRNA from yeast and human has been reported. U4 snRNA presents a k-turn RNA motif in the 5p-SL related to recognition of Snu13 protein. Lineage: Eukaryota; Metazoa; Arthropoda; Insecta; Hemiptera; Reduviidae. The record is from Rfam by way of RNAcentral.
ACCUUGUCGUAACCGGCAAUAUCGUAACCAAUGAAGGCCUCCUGAGGUGCGAUUAUUGCUAGUUGAAAUAAAAAAUGUAAUAGAAUUCUAAAAACUAUUCCACUAAAUACAGGAAGAAAUAUUACGUUUUGCGGAAAUCUCAAAUAGAGUUCAUAAACA